CGGGCUGCUCGGUGGCUAUGUGGUCAUCAACAACCCCCCAGACACCAGCAAGGCUCCCCCGAACGAAGGUGAUGGGCUGCCCCGGAAUCCUCUCAAGACCUACGACCCUCAGAACAUCGAUCCUCUCACAACCUACACACGAGGUGGAGUGGUGGACCGACCCAGUGGACAGGUACGACCCCUCUUUUCAUUGCAUCACCAUGCCCCUCUCCGCUCCAGUUGCAUUUGUGCUGUUAACUUCCAUUACCCUGUACCUGUGGACGCUGUCUAAUUACUUCAAUGUUUCUGUGCAGAAGGGAAAAGAGC
Molecule: long non-coding RNA, 306 nt
Filed under: Physcomitrium patens
Lineage: Eukaryota; Viridiplantae; Streptophyta; Bryopsida; Funariales; Funariaceae
Description: long non-coding RNA (PPAT_LNC007213)
Source: RNAcentral